UCCGCACCUCCGGCAACUUAUCCUGCUUCUUAUCCACCACCGGCUACAACAUAUCCGUCUCCAUCACCAUAUCCAGCGUAUCCUUCAUCUGCAUACCCUCCUCCACCUUCGGCUUAUCCUCCACCACAUUCGGCUUACCCUCCACCACCUUCCGCAUACCCUCCGCCACCUUCAUCGUAUCCCCCAUCUACGUAUCCACAACAAUCACCCUAUUAUCCGCCAGGUAAUUUCAGUUACAUUUUAUAUCUUUCGAUGAUUACUCCCCAUUGCAUUUCAAAUAUAGUACUUAAGUUCCAUUCUUUUCCAUUUUGCAAACAG
RNAcentral lists this long non-coding RNA (318 nucleotides) under Gossypium barbadense (sea-island cotton). RNAcentral describes it as "long non-coding RNA (GBAR_LNC013107)". The record is from RNAcentral. Lineage: Eukaryota; Viridiplantae; Streptophyta; Magnoliopsida; Malvales; Malvaceae.